UAGGGAAUCUUCGGCAAUGGACGGAAGUCUGACCGAGCAACGCCGCGUGAGUGAAGAAGGUUUUCGGAUCGUAAAGCUCUGUUGUAAGAGAAGAACGAGUGUGAGAGUGGAGAGUUCACACUGUGACGGUAUCUUACCAGAAAGGGACGGCUAACUACGUGCCAGCAACCCGCGGUAAUACGUAGGUCCCGAGCGUUGUCCGGAUUUAUUGGGCGUAAAGCGAGCGCAGGCGGUUAGAUAAGUCUGAAGUUAAAGGCUGUGGCUUAACCAUAGUACGCUUUGGAAACUGGUUAACUUGAGUGUGCAAGAGGGGAGAGUGGAAUUCCAUGUGUAGCGGUGAAAUGCGUAGAUAUAUGGAGGAACACCGGUGGCGAAAGCGGCUCUCUGGCUUGUAACUGACGCUGAGGCUCGAAAGCGUGGGGAGCAAACAGGAUUAGAUACCCUGGUAGUCCACGCCGUAAACGAUGAGUGCUAGGUGUUAGACCCUUUCCGGGGUUUAGUGCCGCAGCUAACGCAUUAAGCACUCCGCCUGGGGAGUACGACCGCAAGGUUG
Molecule: ribosomal RNA, 553 nt
Filed under: uncultured bacterium
Lineage: Bacteria
Description: bacterial SSU rRNA
Rfam family: Bacterial small subunit ribosomal RNA
Source: RNAcentral